Poecilia latipinna (sailfin molly) is the source of this 278-nucleotide long non-coding RNA. RefSeq lists it as uncharacterized. NCBI's taxonomy places the organism in Eukaryota, Metazoa, Chordata, Actinopteri, Cyprinodontiformes, Poeciliidae. The transcript has 3 exons. The record is from RefSeq and is a predicted model, not a curated record.
GUUUACCGCUAGCGCUAUCCCAUAACGAGGACCACCGGAGCUUCCUCUUCACGUGUCUGACUCGUUUAUUGAAGUAUUCCCCUUCUUCAGAUGUCCUUGAACAGAACCCCCUCGGCUCUGCGGAUCCCUGCUGCCACUGGAGAACAUUUGACAAGCAGCAGGCUCUUGUUAGAGCGCUGUCAAAUUAAAGAUCACCUUCUGAAUCUUGUUCCAAGUAUUCCCACAGUAUGUUGCUGCCACCGGAAUAGCCGUCUUCAUGAGACGUUCACACGACAACA